AAAUGCCACGACAGAAAAAUUUUUAAAAAUAACAAAAAUAACCUUUUAAAAAUCUUCAUGAGGUUUAUGUUUAUCACACUCAUAUCCAAUAUUUAUAAAAACCUAUACUUACACCCACUUAAAUUGAUAAUGCUAGAAAAACCAUUUAUUUAUUGUAAAAAGUCAAAACCUCUAUAAGAAAAUAGGCUUUUCUUUUACUUUUCCGACUCUCAGAACUCUUCGAAGUAUUACAUUUCAAGAGUCUUCUUCUCUCCGAGAUUAAGCGGCUAGGAGUUCAUUUCCGCUUCACCACUCCACCACGAGUGUCCUUUCUCGACGAACAACCAACAACAAGCUCUCUUUUCAACCGACAUCCGACGACGAGUAUCUGCCAAGAAGAAGCAAGCUGAUCUCCGCAGGCAACAAUCCGCCUCUGCAGCAGCUGCUACUUCUUCUGCUGGGUCUAAUACUAUUGAGAUGUUC
Molecule: long non-coding RNA, 462 nt
Filed under: Phoenix dactylifera (date palm)
Lineage: Eukaryota; Viridiplantae; Streptophyta; Magnoliopsida; Arecales; Arecaceae
Description: long non-coding RNA (PDAC_LNC002058)
Source: RNAcentral